Molecule: ribosomal RNA, 778 nt
Filed under: uncultured Neocallimastigales
Lineage: Eukaryota; Fungi; Neocallimastigomycota; Neocallimastigomycetes; Neocallimastigales
Description: partial large subunit ribosomal RNA
Rfam family: Eukaryotic large subunit ribosomal RNA
Source: RNAcentral
UACGACUACAUAUCAGGCAUAUCAAUAAGCGGAGGAAAAGAAACUAACUAGGAUUCCCUCAGUAACGGCGAGUGAAGCGGGAAGAGCUCAAAUUUGAAAUCUUCAAGGUUUUACCUUGACGAAUUGUAGUUUAAAGAAGUGUUUUCUGUUGGUGUUUCGGUAAAAGUUCUUUGGAAUAGGACAUCAUAGAGGGUGAGAAUCCCGUAUUUGGUACAUUCCUCCUAGCGUUGUGAUACACUUUCAACGAGUCGGAUUGUUUGGGAAUGCAGUCCAAAAUGGGUGGUAAAUUUCAUCUAAAGCUAAAUAAUCUGGCGAGAGACCGAUAGCGAACAAGUACCGUGAGGGAAAGAUGAAAAGAACUUUGAAAAGAGAGUUAAACAGUACGCUGAAAUUGUCAAAAGGGAAGCGUUUGACACCAGUGUUGUUUUUCCGAAAAUCAAUUACGAAUGUUUUGUUUUUGAGGAGUUAUGACUUCAUCGGCUUGCUCCUUUCUUUACGAAACUUUCUUAAUGCACUUUUCGGUUAACAAGUCAACAUCAAUUUCUUUUGUUGUAAAAGGGUAUGAGGAAGGUGGCUUUCUUUUCGGAGAAAGUGUUUAUAGCCUUGUGCCUCUGCAAUCGGAGAGAUUGAGGUCUGCAGCGUAGAUCCUUCGGGGUUAGAUACAUUUGUGCUAAGUUAUAGCUUUUCAUAGACAACUUGUUGACUAUGUUUAGUCUUGUAGCUUACUCGCUUAUGCUAUUUUACCUACGCUUAGGAUGUUGAACGCGCACAGAGUCUC